Molecule: ribosomal RNA, 530 nt
Filed under: uncultured bacterium
Lineage: Bacteria
Description: bacterial SSU rRNA
Rfam family: Bacterial small subunit ribosomal RNA
Source: RNAcentral
AUCUGGUCAGGACGAACGCUGGCGGCGUGCCUAAUACAUGCAAGUCGAACGGCUUUUCUAUGGAAGCUUGCUUCCACUGAAAAGAUAGUGGCGAACGGGUGAGUAACACGUGGGUAACCCUGCCCAUAAGAGGGGGGAUAACAUCCGGAAACGGGUGCUAAUACCGCAUAGUUUUCUUGAUCGCAUGAUCGGGAAAGGAAAGACGGCCUUUGUGCUGUCGCUUAUGGAUGGACCCGCGGCGUAUUAGUUAGUUGGUGAGGUAACGGCUCACCAAGACGAUGAUACGUAGCCGACCUGAGAGGGUGAUCGGCCACAUUGGGACUGAGACACGGCCCAAACUCCUACGGGAGGCAGCAGUAGGGAAUCUUCCGCAAUGGACGAAAGCCUGACGGAGCGAACCGCCGCGUGAACGAAGAAGGCCGUGAGGUUGUAAAGUUCUUUUCGGGAGGGGGAACAACCGUGGCAGGGAAUGGCCGCGGGAUGACGUGAAUCCCGGAAUAAGCCCCGGCUAACUACGUGCCAGCCGCUGC